GACGAACGCUGGCGGCGUGCCUAACACAUGCAAGUCGAACGGAACUGUUUUGAAAGAUUUCUUCGGAAUGAAUUUGAUUUAGUUUAGUGGCGGACGGGUGAGUAACGCGUGAGUAACCUGCCUUCAAGAGGGGGAUAACAUUCUGAAAAGAAUGCUAAUACCGCAUGACAUAUCGGAACCACAUGAUUUUGAUAUCAAAGAUUUUAUCGCUUGAAGAUGGACUCGCGUCCGAUUAGUUAGUUGGUGAGGUAACGGCUCACCAAGACCGCGAUCGGUAGCCGGACUGAGAGGUUGAACGGCCACAUUGGGACUGAGACACGGCCCAGACUCCUACGGGAGGCAGCAGUGGGGGAUAUUGCGCAAUGGGGGCAACCCUGACGCAGCAACGCCGCGUGAAGGAUGAAGGUUUUCGGAUUGUAAACUUCUUUUAUUAAGGACGAAACUUGACGGUACUUAAUGAAUAAGCUC
RNAcentral lists this ribosomal RNA (468 nucleotides) under uncultured bacterium. RNAcentral's name for it is "bacterial SSU rRNA". It matches the Rfam family "Bacterial small subunit ribosomal RNA", at positions 28 to 493 of the family's 1533-position model. The record is from RNAcentral.